This 433-nucleotide ribosomal RNA is filed under the name uncultured bacterium. RNAcentral describes it as "partial 16S ribosomal RNA". It matches the Rfam family "Bacterial small subunit ribosomal RNA", at positions 29 to 507 of the family's 1533-position model. The record is from RNAcentral.
AACGAACGCUGGCGGCAUGCCUAACACAUGCAAGUCGAACGAGACCUUCGGGUCUAGUGGCGCACGGGUGCGUAACGCGUGGGAACCUGCCCUUAGGUUCGGAAUAACUCCCCGAAAGGGGUGCUAAUACCGGAUAAUGUCUUCGGACCAAAGAUUUAUCGCCUUUGGAUGGGCCCGCGUUGGAUUAGCUAGUUGGUAGGGUAAAAGCCUACCAAGGCGACGAUCCAUAGCUGGUCUGAGAGGAUGAUCAGCCACACUGGGACUGAGACACGGCCCAGACUCGUACGGGAGGCAGCAGUGGGGAAUAUUGGACACUGGGGGAAAGACUGAUACAGCAAUGCCGGGUGAGUGAUGCAGGCCUUAGGGUUGUAAAGCUCUUUUACACGGGAUGAUAAUGACGGUACCGGGAGAAUAAGCACCGGCUAACUCCGUG